AGACGUAGGGGGCGAGCGUUGUCCGGAAUUACUGGGCGUAAAGAGCACGUAGGCGGAUAUUUAAGUCAGUUGUGAAAGGCCGCAGCUUAACUGCGGGGUUGCAAAUGAAACUGGGUAUCUUGAGGGCAGGAGAGGUCAGUGGAAUUCCUGGUGUAGCGGUGAAAUGCGUAGAAAUCAGGAGGAACACCAGUGGCGAAGGCGGCUGACUGGACUGACCCUGACGCCGAGGUGCGAAAGCGUGGGUAGCAAACAGGAUUAGAUACCCUGGUAGUCCACGCUGUAAACGAUGGAUACUAGGUGUGGGAGGUAUCGACCCCUUCCGUGCCGGAGCUAACGCAAUAAGUAUCCCGCCUGGGGAGUACGGUCGCAAGGCUGAA
RNAcentral lists this ribosomal RNA (377 nucleotides) under uncultured bacterium. RNAcentral's name for it is "bacterial SSU rRNA". It matches the Rfam family "Bacterial small subunit ribosomal RNA", at positions 523 to 898 of the family's 1533-position model. The record is from RNAcentral.